UACCAGCUCUUCGAGUGGUGUGGAUGUUUAUUGGGCUUAAAGCAUCCGUAGCUGGCUGGGCAAGUCCCCUGUUAAAUCCACCGAUUUAAUCGUUGGAGUGCGGGGGAUACUGUUCGGCUAGGGGACGGGAGAGGCAGACGGUAUUUUCGGGGUAGGGGUGAAAUCCUAUAAUCCCGGGAAGACCACCAGUGGCGAAGGCUGUCUGCUAGAACGCGCCCGACGGUGAGGGAUGAAAGCUAGGGGGAGCGAACCGGAUUAGAUACCCGGGUAGUCCCAGCUGUAAACGAUGCAGGCUAGGUGUUUGGGCGGCCACGUGCCGCUCUAGUGCCGCAGGGAAGCCGUUAAGCCUGCCGCCUGGGGAGUACGGCCGCAAGGCUGAAACUUAAAGGAAUUGGCGGGGAGCACCACAAGGGGUGAAGCUUGCGGUUU
RNAcentral lists this ribosomal RNA (429 nucleotides) under uncultured archaeon. RNAcentral's name for it is "bacterial SSU rRNA". It matches the Rfam family "Archaeal small subunit ribosomal RNA", at positions 474 to 903 of the family's 1478-position model. The record is from RNAcentral.